GACGAACGCUGGCGGCGUGCCUAAUACAUGCAAGUCGAGCGGAAUGAUGAAGAAGCUUGCUUCUUCUGAUUUUAGCGGCGGACGGGUGAGUAACACGUGGGCAACCUGCCCUGUAGACUGGGAUAACUUCGGGAAACCGAAGCUAAUACCGGAUAAUCUUUUGUGCCACAUGGCAUGAAAGUAAAAGUUGGGUUUUACCUAACACUACAGGAUGGGCCCGCGGCGCAUUAGCUAGUUGGUAAGGUAAUGGCUUACCAAGGCGACGAUGCGUAGCCGACCUGAGAGGGUGAUCGGCCACACUGGGACUGAGACACGGCCCAGACUCCUACGGGAGGCAGCAGUAGGGAAUCUUCCACAAUGGACGAAAGUCUGAUGGAGCAACGCCGCGUGAGUGAAGAAGGUUUUCGGAUCGUAAAACUCUGUUGUAAGGGAAGAACACGUACGAGAGUAACUGCUCGUACCUUGACGGUACCUUAUUAGAAAGCCACGGCUAACUACGUG
This 501-nucleotide ribosomal RNA is filed under the name uncultured bacterium. RNAcentral describes it as "bacterial SSU rRNA". It matches the Rfam family "Bacterial small subunit ribosomal RNA", at positions 28 to 507 of the family's 1533-position model. The record is from RNAcentral.